Molecule: long non-coding RNA, 202 nt
Filed under: Eucalyptus grandis
Lineage: Eukaryota; Viridiplantae; Streptophyta; Magnoliopsida; Myrtales; Myrtaceae
Description: long non-coding RNA (EGRA_LNC001728)
Source: RNAcentral
AUCGUCGGGAGAAGCCUAUUUAUAGGCGAGGGGGCGGCCGGUCGAUGGAGCUUCGACCGCCGAUCUUCGCACGCCGAACCGCCUCCGCCGGCCGAACCAACAUCCCAUCCGAGCUCCUCCACAAGGCGUGCUCGGCAUUGAAGGAAAUCCAUGAUGGCGCCCGAGAUCUGUCUCUUCUGGCCGACGUCGGCCUACCCUCCUC